RNAcentral lists this ribosomal RNA (458 nucleotides) under uncultured bacterium. RNAcentral describes it as "partial 16S ribosomal RNA". It matches the Rfam family "Bacterial small subunit ribosomal RNA", at positions 338 to 795 of the family's 1533-position model. The record is from RNAcentral.
CCUACGGGCGGCAGCAGUGAGGAAUAUUGGUCAAUGGGCGAGAGCCUGAACCAGCCAAGUCGCGUGAGGGAGUACUGCCCUAUGGGUUGUAAACCUCUUUUGUCGGGGAGCAAAAGCCGGACGUGUCCGGCUGUGAGAGUACCCGAAGAAAAAGCAUCGGCUACCUCCGUGCCAGCAGCCGCGGUAAUACGGAGGAUGCGAGCGUUAUCCGGAUUUAUUGGGUUUAAAGGGUGCGCAGGCGGAUUUUUAUGUCAGCGGUAAAAUCGUGGGGCUCAACCCCAUCCAGCCGUUGAAACUGGGGAUCUAGAGUGUGCGAGAGGUAUGCGGAAUGCGUGGUGUAGCGGUGAAAUGCAUAGAUAUCACGCAGAACCCCGAUUGCGAAGGCAGCAUACCGGUGCACAACUGACGCUCAGGCACGAAAGCGUGGGUAUCGAACAGGAUUAGAUACCCCUGUAGUC